CCCCGGGAGAAAUCUUCAAUCCACUGGCUAUCUUCGUUACUUUCAAUGCCCAGAAAAACCUCAGUUUCAACCAAACUGUCAAACCUUAAAGUUCCAUGAAGACUGUCAUCAAAAUCAAACUUUGGAAGAGCAUACGGCCGUAGAACAGAAGGAAAUUUAUUGCUCCCUUCACCAGCUAAAUGAAGAUUCUGGCUGUGAAAAUCAUUGUCAUCAUAAUCCAUGGGUAUAUGCCAGAACAAUUAAGUCUAGAG
RNAcentral lists this unclassified non-coding RNA (251 nucleotides) under Hevea brasiliensis (rubber tree). Lineage: Eukaryota; Viridiplantae; Streptophyta; Magnoliopsida; Malpighiales; Euphorbiaceae. The record is from RNAcentral.